This 408-nucleotide ribosomal RNA is filed under the name uncultured eukaryote. Its description in RNAcentral is "partial 18S ribosomal RNA". It matches the Rfam family "Eukaryotic small subunit ribosomal RNA", at positions 592 to 976 of the family's 1831-position model. The record is from RNAcentral.
CAAUAGCGUAUAUUUAAGUUGUUGCAGUUAAAAAGCUCGUAGUUGGAUUUCGAAUGGGAGCGGUGGGUCGGGUCCGCAAGGGCUCGUUACCUGUUUCGUCUCCGGUUCUUUUUCGGGAUUUGUUUCUGGCGUGGCUGGCAUUGAGUUGUCGGUGGCGUCGGGCCCGUCGUUUACUGUGAACAAAUUAGAGUGUUCAAAGCAAGGUGUGUCUUGAAUACAUUAGCAUGGAAUAAUGAGAUAGGACUUUGGUGGUUUCGGUGAAAGCCGGAUAUUUUGUUGGUUUGCACGCCAAAGUAAUGAUUAAUAGGAGCAGUUGGGGGUAUUCGUAUUCAAUUGUCAGAGGUGAAAUUCUUGGAUUUCUAGAAGACGAACUACUGCGAAAGCAUUUACCAGGGAUGUUUUCAUUAA